This is a long non-coding RNA of Grammomys surdaster, 609 nucleotides long. RefSeq lists it as uncharacterized. Lineage: Eukaryota; Metazoa; Chordata; Mammalia; Rodentia; Muridae. The transcript is spliced from 4 exons. The record is from RefSeq and is a predicted model, not a curated record.
AUCAGGAACUGGGUUUCUUCCCAGAGCACAACUCCGCCGCCCAGUCGUCAGCACACAGCGGGACUCCCGGUCUCUGGGGCGGAGCAAAGAUAACUUCUCAGCUGCCCUGCUGCCUGACCCUGACCUCGGUCAAUGGGCCUCUGCAUGCUGCUCGGAUGGAUGCAGAGGUCCAACUCUGGAGCUCCACCAACUUUAGCCUGGAAAUUGGGUCAAGAGACACUGCCAAGGGUCACUAGAGCUUCACUAAAAGGGACCCUGUGCUACAGAGUUGCAGCAUGGAUCCACUGCACAUCCAUUUGCAGUUGAAGACAACCCUGGCCAGCAGGAGGAAAAUUCAGCCUCAAGACUCUCUGCUGUCUCUCCCACUGAAUUACCACCCUGUGGAGAGUCGCAUCAUGCCGCGCCCUUAAGAUGACGCCGGUCUCUGCCUUCCGCCAUCCCAAUGGCGAGUGCUCUCAGGAGUAAACAAGUCCUUAUUUGGCUGUGGCUGGUGAUCUGGCUUGCUUCCGUGUUUGUGGACCUAUCUGCUGUUGCCACGUGGCUCGCUGGGGUAGGCUAGCCCUUGACUACUUAAGCCUGGGAGACCCUUCCCCCGGGGUCAGUCAGAAG